Molecule: long non-coding RNA, 631 nt
Organism: Populus euphratica (Euphrates poplar)
Lineage: Eukaryota; Viridiplantae; Streptophyta; Magnoliopsida; Malpighiales; Salicaceae
Exons: 3
Source: RefSeq, a predicted model, not a curated record
AUUAUGAUUUAUUAAUUAACACAUUUUUAUUCUAACAUGUUUAAUAUUUUAUUUUGUAGAAUUUGGUAGAAAGUUGCAUUUAGCAACGAAUGAUAAUUAAUUCAGAAAUUGUGAUGCAUUUAUUGAAAAUAAAUCAAAGUGCAAUGUUCUUGAAGUGCUUUUUUAUUGAGACGAUGUGCACAUGAAGAUUUAUUUUUUUGUGGCUUGGAGUGUUUAUGAUAAUAUUAUUUGUUGUUUUUUUCAUUAAGACCUUUGAAGACAAUGGUUUGUAAUUUGGAUGUUAACUUAUUGGUGUGUGAUUGUGAGUGUGUGUUAUUUAUUUAAAUUUUUCAGAGGUAGAAAAAUAUUAGUAAGUUAAAAAAUAUAUUGAACACAAGAUUGAUAUUAAUAAUUUCAUAUGAAUGAAUAUUCAAUGGCCAAAAAAUUUAAUAAACAUAAGAUUGACAAUAACAAUUUAAUACAAUUGAAUAUUUAGGGGUAAAAAAAUUAAAUAUAUUUGGAAUCUUUAAAGAAAAUGAGAUAAUAUCAACAUUAAUUGUAGGCCUAACAAAAAUCCAUUAGAAGCCCAUUACAAAGCCCAUUACAAAGCCAAAAAAGCCCAAAAUGUAUAUAGGUUUGUUUGGUUUUUUGG